Carassius auratus (goldfish) is the source of this 119-nucleotide ribosomal RNA. The record is from Ensembl. NCBI's taxonomy places the organism in Eukaryota, Metazoa, Chordata, Actinopteri, Cypriniformes, Cyprinidae.
GCUUAUGGCCAUACCAGCCUGGCUAUGCCUGAUCUUGUCUGAUCUCGUAAGCUAAGCAGGUUUGGGCCUGGUUAGUGCCUGGAUGCGUGACCGCCUGGGAAUGCCAGGUACUGUAAGCU